RNAcentral lists this ribosomal RNA (433 nucleotides) under uncultured bacterium. RNAcentral describes it as "partial 16S ribosomal RNA". It matches the Rfam family "Bacterial small subunit ribosomal RNA", at positions 29 to 507 of the family's 1533-position model. The record is from RNAcentral.
AACGAACGCUGGCGGCAUGCCUAACACAUGCAAGUCGAACGAGACCUUCGGGUCUAGUGGCGCACGGGUGCGUAACGCGUGGGAACCUGCCCUUAGGUUCGGAAUAACUCCCCGAAAGGGGUGCUAAUACCGGAUAAUGUCUUCGGACCAAAGAUUUAUCGCCUUUGGAUGGGCCCGCGUUGGAUUAGCUAGUUGGUAGGGUAAAAGCCUACCAAGGCGACGAUCCAUAGCUGGUCUGAGAGGAUGAUCAGCCACACUGGGACUGAGACACGGCCCAGACUCCUACGGGAAGCAGCAGUGGGGAAUAUUGGACAAUGGGCGAAAGCCUGAUCCAGCAAUGCCGCGUGAGUGAUGAAGGCCUUAGGGUUGUAAAACUCUUUUACCCGGGAUGAUAAUGACAGUACCGGGAGAAUAAGCUCCGGCUAACUCCGUG